Gallus gallus (chicken) is the source of this 3787-nucleotide long non-coding RNA. RefSeq lists it as uncharacterized. The transcript has 2 exons. NCBI's taxonomy places the organism in Eukaryota, Metazoa, Chordata, Aves, Galliformes, Phasianidae. The record is from RefSeq and is a predicted model, not a curated record.
ACCAUCAGGCUCCCCAAGUCCUUCUCCACAGGGCUGCUCUCAAUCCAUCUCAAACAACAGAAGCACUGGGCCUUUCUGGCUCAUACUGUCUGUUUUUUUUUCUCCCCUCCUUCGUACAUCUUCUCAUCAUCAUUCCCAAUCCAGAUGUGAACACUGCUGUGUCCAUCCAUUGGGUGACACCAAUUAAUUUCCUCAACAGUAUUCCCCGAUCUAGUGGUUGGAAACCCUGUCCAUGCCAGGAUGUUGGAGCUCAGUGAUCUUUAAGGUACUUUCCAACCUAAGUCAUUCUGUACUUGUAUGAUUCUAUUGCUCAGUAUUUCAGUCUGGCUUCUGAUUGCGUCAAUGUGCCAACCAGGGAAGCUUUCUAUAUGCACUUUUAUUUCAUACUGUAUACUAGAGAGCAGCAUGUUGGAGGGUUGUUGUAAUACUGAAGGAGAGGGAGCCCUGCAAAGGUUUUAGAUUUUUUCAAACUCUUAUGGGAAUAUAUAAAGGGAUUUUAUAUAUUGCUGAGCUAAGCAGUAGCUGGCAAAUAGUUUCCUGUUUGAGGGAAUGGAGAUAUAUGUACCUACUUUCUUUCAAUGUGUAUUACUCACUGAGCUACAUUGGGAAUAGCACAAGUUUUCCAUUCUGCCUCAGUUUUGAAAUUACAGUUUUCAGCAAUCUCUUUUAAGCUAUGUUAAUUAACCCGACUUCACUGACUUUGAUCCACUACUCCAUACUAUUUCCAAAUAAGAUAAAAUAAAAUAAAAUAAUAUCCAAAUAAAAUAAAAUAAGAUAAAAUGUGAAUGCUUCUCAUUAUGCUUGUUUACAAAAUUGGUGAUAUUGAUGUAUGGUAUGAAUUUUGCUGUGAAUUUAUCUACUUUAUUUUACCCGCUUCACAUCAGAAAUAUCUAAGAACAUUCUGGAAGAGCAAACUCCUUAAAUUUACUCUGGUGUCUCUGUGACUCCAGUGCCCUUGCAUCAUCAGUUUGCUCUGAUUCUUAAUCUAUUAAGAGCCAAAGCAAAUUAUAAAAGUAUACUGAUCACCCGACUGCCUGUGAUAGCAAAUUUCCAUGGUGGUAGCUAAAGGAGCUUACAAUAUAACACAAGUAAUGACAGACAGUGCAGCAAAGGUGAGCUCUGAAGAUGUGGAAUAGGGUGGGCACAGUGAUGUUUGACCAAUCCAAGUAAAUCUGUGCAUAUAAAUAUCUCAAAGAACUCUGUUAUCCCUGAGGAAAUUAACCACUGUUUUUGAGUGAUGGGAAAUGAAAUUCCAAGCCAUGUAUGACUCUACAGCACUGCUUUCCAUGUGGUUACAGAGCCAUGCACUGAGAUAAAAGCAGCCAAGCAAAGUCAGUCUCCAUUCUUUGGUGUUCCUGAACCCCUGAAAGCUGUGCCCUGGCCCCCUGCCCAUGGCCCUCCUAUGCCAUCUGAUGUCAUUCUGACUAAGGCAAAUGUUCUGACAUCCUUCAACUGUCAUCUUGUGAGAUGGAAUAGGCAACUCCUUGUGUUUAUUUAGUCAGUUUACUUACAGCCAGACAGCUUACCUCUCAGGCAGGAUGCCUGCUUCUCAUCUGGUUUCUACUCUAUUUGAUUUGUUUUACUCGUAGCCCUACUAUGAAUUUAAACUUCCCUGAAUACACAAAUCUUUCUGGUGCUAGUUCAUUCGCAGGGAAGGCCAACACUGUAAUUGAAAAUUAAUUAAAUGGGCGUAGGUGUCUGUCUCUGCAUGGGGCAGGCAUCAUGCUGUGUGUGAGCAGGAAUGAGGGGAAGGUAAGCAUUUCUAAUGGAAUAGGUUCCUCUCCACACUGGAUUCGUUAGCAUAAUCAUAAUUGUGAUGGUUUACUUGCCAUGCAGAUAGCAAGCCAAUGAUUCCAUAGAAACAUGGUAACAGUGAUCAGCUCUGUACAUCUGUGGAAGUUUUCUGUGCAUUGUAUUUAUUUCAUUGCUUUCUUUCUCAGACUUCUCUUCCCCCAGUACAUCUGUACUCGAGAAAUUUUAUUUGGCCAGUUUGGUCAGCACAAACAUAUAAAAUGACAGAUUUUUCUACGUGGUUGAUUGAUUCUCAUAUUCGAAAAUCAUAUUCAAAGGAAAUACGUCUCAUACACAUCUCUGAUUUUAAUAGUGUCUUUUGCAAAACACUCAUGAUGCUUCAUGGAAAACCUAGAAGAUGAACUUAAAUAAACAGAGUAGACAAAUCCUAAUAUGAGGCAGUACUGCUCUUCCUUUCACUCUUGUUGCCUAGUUCUGGAAAUCGACUAUAUUAGUAUUUAAAUAAGAGUAAAAGACAGGAGAUCAGGAAGAAAAACAAAGACGUCCCAUAUCUACUUUUACAUUAACAGAAUAAUACCCUGAAAGGGAAAUCAUGCCAAUAGCUGCAUCUGUGCUUUUGGCAAGAUGGUGAUUAAAAAAAAAAGCAAAAGAAAUCUCUUCAUUUUCAAGAUAGCUUCACAAAGAAAGCAACCAGACAUGGAAUCAUCUCCCACACUUCACUGCCUGCGCCUGUUGCAUGCGAUGUCCUUGGAUGCCUAAAAGAUUAGGCAGUAUGAUCCACCUGGCCCAAGUAAAAGGGACCAAAGGCAUUUCUCCGUCUACAAAGUUAAGCUCCUGGUAAGUGUAUCCUUUUACUAAGUCACGCAAUAUUUUCAUAAUGAAUAAUACUAAUAAUUAUUAUUACCAAUUUUUUGGUAAUUACACUGAAGUACAAUGUUUACGUCUGCCAGUUGUUACGAACUUGGUAAAUAGAGGAAAGGCUGUAACACGACCUAAGUAAGGUAUAUUGAUGAAGACUAUGUAUUUUGAGAAGCUGAUAUUCCUUUCUUUUCUUUUUCAGCUCUAUGAAAAUGAAGAAGACAAACUGAAAGUUUUGCUCUGCAAAAAUUAAUAGGGACCUCUGGGUCUUGAGGGGACAAAAUUGUGGAUGAGUCCUCUCAUGUGGCAAGGCAUUAAGAGCAACAAAAAAGUUAAACUUCAGACAUCAGCCUGCACCACAGGACUGUUCUCAGCCACCCUGGUUUGCGGCAUCGCUUGCACAGUGGCACUUUUCAACACCCAGGAGAGCUCAAUACUACUGCUAUGAAGAAUGUGGACGUAAAGACCAACCUUUAUAUUUGUGUCCCUGAAUUUCUUCCACUUGAGGAAAAGGCUAUCUACUAUUGAAUAAUGUCCUGAAACAUAAUUCAGAAGCAGAAGCAGCAGAAAAAAAAUCCUGAAGUGGGGGAGAGACAUACUUCUUAAACAUUACUCAUUGGAAUUGUGGUGCAAUGUAGAAGCUGCUAUUGAUAUGCCAUAGCUGACGUGAUGGAGUACCAAGUGGACGUUCCUCAACAAUUCAGCUCCAUCUACCCUAAAAUCAUCACUAUUCUCUUACUAGGCCACAUUUUCAGGGAAUUACUCAGGAGGUGCCUGAGCUUUCCCAGACCUAAAUUCAUUUCAGCUGCAUAAUUCUUCUGGAGUAAAAGCAAGAGGCAGUGUAGUCCAUGAGUUGCUGUGAAGGUGUUAUAACAACACUCCUCACUUUUAAGGGACUCAUGGUGGUAUGUAGGAAUCUAAUUAAUUUCCUACCAUUAAUGAUUUUCCACUUUAUUGUGAACAUUGUUCUGUUUGUAUGUAGGUAUACAAAUUUGCUGUCUUGAAUGUACAGUGUUGUGAGCCACAAAGUCAUUUUAUCUACCAGGUGCUGAUUUAAAUGAAGAAAUGCUCUAUAUCGUUAAUAUAAAAAGACUGUGAGAAAUAUGUUUUCUUGAGUUAAAAUGUACUUGAAAAAUGUUCAACAUUUGAUAAUAAAUCUUCGAAAAAAACAACAAAA